GGCUCAGAUUGAACGCUGGCGGCAGGCCUAACACAUGCAAGUCGAGCGGAAACGAUCCUAGCUUGCUAGGAGGCGUCGAGCGGCGGACGGGUGAGUAAUGCAUAGGAAUCUGCCCGGUAGUGGGGGAUAACUUGAGGAAACUCAAGCUAAUACCGCAUACGCCCUACGGGGGAAAGCAGGGGCUCUUCGGACCUUGCGCUAUCGGAUGAGCUUAUGUCGGAUUAGCUGGUUGGUGAGGUAACGGCUCACCAAGGCGACGAUCCGUAGCUGGUCUGAGAGGAUGAUCAGCCACAUCGGGACUGAGACACGGCCCGAACUCCUACGGG
This 326-nucleotide ribosomal RNA is filed under the name Halomonas sp. Its description in RNAcentral is "bacterial SSU rRNA". It matches the Rfam family "Bacterial small subunit ribosomal RNA", at positions 21 to 345 of the family's 1533-position model. Lineage: Bacteria; Pseudomonadati; Pseudomonadota; Gammaproteobacteria; Oceanospirillales; Halomonadaceae. The record is from RNAcentral.